Long non-coding RNA from Equus caballus (horse), 17894 nucleotides. NCBI's taxonomy places the organism in Eukaryota, Metazoa, Chordata, Mammalia, Perissodactyla, Equidae. The record is from Ensembl.
CAGAGGAUGGACGGGCUCUGUGGGACCUCUAUGUCAUCCUCUCCUCCCCGCCAUGUGGCCUCCCUGCAUUUCCCUUUCAGAGUCCACAGCUUGACCAUCCGUGGUGGGCAGGCUUGGAAGUCACAAACACCCCAAAAGAGAUUUUCUGUCGCAGCAGCAGCACUGGGCAGCUCACAGAAACUCGGAGCCCAGGGUCUGCACAGGCUCAGAAAGCCCAGGAUCCUCCUCUGCCCUGGGUGCCCCCGACAGCCCAAAGGGGAAGGGGUCAGACGCGCAACAGUGUGACUGUGGCCUCCUCUCAGCCCAGCCCGCCUCUGGAGCAUCGCGGUCACUGUCCGUGACGCACAUGGGGUGCCUCACAGCUGGAGACACGCUGUAGGACUGACCCACAGAAUGUCAGAGCUAAGGGGGCUCCAAGACCUCAUUUUCCCCAACACUUUGCUUUGCAGAUGGGAAAGCAGAAGCCCAGAGAGGGGAAGGAAUUCCCUCAGGUCACACAGUGAGGGGCAGAGAGGGAAUGGAAGCUAGCUUUUGGACAGAACUCAUUUCUUUCGGAAGGCUCCUGGGCGAUGGCCCCUGCCUGGAACAACUAACAGCCUUGGAAACUCAGAGUAGCACACAGUAGGUGCUCAGCAGACAUUUGUGGACUGAAUAAGUGAUUAUUAUGGGACACAAAAAGCAGACCGUGAAGCUGGGAGUGGACCCCAAAUCCUGUCUUCCAACAGGAAGUCCUGCUCCUCUUUGCUACCAGUGAAGCGGGGCUUGGAAAGGAGGCGAGGGAGGGAAGAAGCGCGGCCGUGAAUCCUUUGUAAGGAGAAAUCAGUGGGGAGCGGGAAGCCCAUGGGAGUAGGCUCAUCCCAGGAAAUCAGGUAGAGAGGAGCAUGGUGGCUGGACCCUUGGCCCUGCUCUCCCAGGCACCACACCAUCCCCCACCUGGGGAACAGGGAGCACUUAGGUUUGGAAUCCUGGGGAAGAGAAGUUCUAUUUCCGUUGGGCUGUUGAGGCCUGUGACCGGUGGUGGCCAUCUUCUUUCAUCAACGGAAAAACCACUUGAGAAGGACACCAGUACAGAGGGGAGGAAGCCAAGCCAAGAGGCUGGGAGAGCCGAUUCCUGCUGACGGCAUCAAGCACCCAGAAUCAUGCUCACGGGACCACAACGGCCAGUGUCUGGAGCUGCUGCAGGGGAGGCCAGGAGCCUUCACCCGCCCCCGUCCUUGGGGACACCUCCUUCCUUUGGGCCUUGGGGGUCCUAUUCCCUACUUGCACACCAGAGAUCUUUUCCAGAAUACGCAGAGAACCUCGCUCACUUUGGAACAGGAUGCGUCCAUCACCGCCCUUUCCACAUCUCCCUGAAACGCAGCUCGGGUCCUCCUUUCUUUGCAUCAUGGCCUCCGGGGCUGUCGCGGGAGAGACCAGGCAGACGGUCCAUCAACAGCUCCGCACUUGGGGCCCCUGUGAGGCAAGAGCUGCCCACUGGGAAGCGCUGUUCACAAGGGACCUCACACUCCAGCUGAAGGGGCUGUGGAGGCCCCGAGGGCCGGAAGCAGUGCUCAGGCCAAAGUGAUCCCAAAGGCUUCUUGCUGGCUGGGGCCUUCUGGCCAUGCUGGAGGGUGGGGGGGCGAGGUCCCUGCAGUGUCUGAGGACCCACUGUGUGCAGGCUCAGGGUGCACAGAGAAGCAAGGGCAGAAGCCGGCCCCAGAGGUGUUCACAAGCCAAAUAUGGACAAGCCAGCCAGGCAGACAGAGAACCAGAGCUCACGGGCUGUUUUCAUGGGUGAAGGGUGGGGGUCGGGGCAGAGACCCAUGCCUGCUGGGGAACUAGUUAAGGAUAGGGAAUUUUUCACUGAGACUCGAAGGCUGUACCAGUUAGAUAUGUUUGGCUGAAGUAACAGAAAACUUUACUAAGAGUGGCUUAAACUACAAAGGCAUCUAAUGUUUAAUGUUUAAAGAUGAUGUGAGAGAUGGGAAGUCCAGAGGUGGUCUGGUGGCCCAAUAACGUCAUCGGUGACUCAGAUGCCACCCACCUCUCUACUCCACCAUUAACAGAAUGUUAGUGUCACUCCCUCGUGAUUGCAGUGUGGUUGCCUCCACUCCAGCCAUCACAUCUGCAUAGUUAGUGCUCAAGCCAGAAGCAAGAGGGCACCUUCCUCAUUGCCCAUCUCUUUCUUUUCAGGAAGGAAAAUCUCUCACAGAAGCCCCCAUAGACUUCCUCUAAGAUCUCAUUGGCCAGAACAAGUCCCUGUCCCAACCAAUCACCAGAGGUGGGGGAGGGGAAGGGGAGCAGUUGCCAUGACUGGCUUGGACCAGUCAUGAUUCCUCCAAAAUGAGCAUCCCCAGGAGGAAGGCAGGGUGAGGUGGGCAAAGGCUGCUGUGUGAGCAACCAACUCGAUGCUGCCACAAAGGAGAAAUGGACGAGGGAGCUGCGGUUUCCAAGACAAGGGAACAGAAGAGCAGGAGGAACAGCAUACCACGCAGAGGUGCAGAGGCGCGGUAGCUACUGGUGGUGUGCAUGAGCACAGCAGGGGUGGGGCAAGGUGGGCAGGGCCUCAUAUUCCGUUAGAUGCCUGGAGCAAGGCGGGCCCUGGGCAAUAGGGAGCUACUGAGAGAUGCUGAGCAGAGAGUGAGCACAGCCACAGACGGGAAACUGCAGGUAUGCAGGGGCCCUGUGGACCUUUACUUCUUUACCUGGCACAUGAGGACCACAGCGUGUCCAGCCUGGGCAGGCGGGUUAGAUGGACUGGGAAUGUAGCCCUCAAAGUAAGGGGUUUAUCGUGUGCCCCCCGAAGGUAGCUGAGAAGGGGUGCAGGUGGGUAAGGUCCGGGACCAGGGUCCCUGGGAAGUGUCCUCAAGGACCGCUAUGUCUUCUGACUCCAAAGCUGCACGCUAACCUCCUACCUGUCUCCCGCUCCCUCGUGCAUCACUGCAGCCAGGCAUUCUGCAAACCGCAGGAGUGCCAGGGGCCGUGACCCCGGGGUCAGCACCAAGGGCACCAGCAACAGGCACCCGUCCAACACUCCAUCUCCAGCAGCUCAGACAGCACAGCGCCACUGUGAGGUGGCCACUGCCAGACCAAUUAUAGUGAGAAGCUGAGCCUCCAAAGGGGCAAAGGACUUGUCCAAGGUCACACAGACUGAGAAUGUUUAGAAGCUAGGGCUGCCUGUCUGUCACGCAAGCAGACAGGCCAGCCUCAGGCAAUGACAGCCAAGUGAACUCAGCACAGAGCAGGGUGUGUGUGUCAUGGUGGGGGCGAGGGUACUGGACGGGCAGGCUGCGGAACAGAUGCCCAGAAGGGCAGAGUCUCGCAGGGUGAGGGCACUGCUGUCCCUCUGCUGGAGAGCAGAGGAAAGGCGCUCCUGCUGGAGGACCAGCUCGUGCAAAGGCCGGGAGGUGCUGCAGCAUGAGAAACACGGCUUGUGUGUGACAGAGGGGGACAAUGGAAGCCACUGCUCACGCGGGAGGAGGCCCCUGGACUUCCCCUCCUCCCCGGCUUGCCCCUGACCCUGGCAGCUCUGCCUCCAUCCAUCUCUCUGUCUCCCCUCCUCCUGCUGCCCCGAGGCCCAGCCCCUGAGCCGGCUCCUCCUCAUCGUCCUGCACUUUCCACAUUGUCCCGUCUUGGCUCAGACACCACAGACACCUUCCCUCCCUUGAAGUGAUAAUUAAGUUUCUCAUUACUGAGGGAUACCCUCAUGACAUGUCUUCAAAGUUUAAAAAAAAUUUAAAUUGAAAAAAAAAUCCAGACUGUUAAUGGUCUAAAUGAGCAGAUGGCGAGCGAAGGUUGCUCAGGUUCCCAAUAAUGAAAGAGCCCUGGUCCCGGAGCGGGAGGGAGGGGGUGAACUUGACCCCCAUGUGGCCCGUGGGUAAUCCUUUCGUCUAUUCAGGGUUUUAGCCAUCGUCACAUUUCUGAGCCCAUUUCUGCAUCUGGCCCAGAGCCCUCCCAGAGCUCACAGGCUGGAGAGGUCAUCAGAGUGUGACGAUAGCGCCGGGGGGGUCCAGGUGAGGCCUCAGGGGGCCGUAGGAGGGGCUGGGGAUCAGGAACAGCUUUAUGGAGGAGGUGACGUCUGAGCUGGGUCUCCAAGGACCAGCCGUCAUCUAGCUAGGGCCUGGCACCAAGAAGGAACCAAACACAUGACGAGUGAAUUAGUGAGUGAAUGAACGAAUUGGCAUCCGCCUAACAGACAGCAAGGAGGGGCAGCCCACCCAAGCAAAGGCAUGAAACACAGGGCCUCCUGGGGAACGUGAGGAGGGGCUGCCAUGCAGUGCCCGACUCACCCCCGUUAUGGCCAUCUUGCUGCCACAAUAGCCGUGCUCUGGCCGCCCGGGAGCCCUGGCCUGCCCUCUGCUCUGGGAUACUGCUCGUCAUUCCCAGCCACACCAGCGUGUGUCACCUCCAUGUCCCUGUGUGUAAGGGCACCAGCCUCUUGGGGGUUUGUGAAGAGGGGGAGGUCAGUGUGCAGCCCCAGGCUGAGGACAGGAGGGAGAGGGUCACGGGGUCCCGAGGCGGUGGAUCCAGGGGCCGGGGGGCAUUGGCAGAUGGGGUGGGGAGGAGCCAUGCUCGGGGGCGGAGGAUCCCACUGGCGGAGGUUCCCUCACCCAGCGGGGCUUCAUGGAGAAAAGGGAGUCGUGGGGCAAGGACUCAACUCCACCUGGGCCAAACUGACUUGGAGAAGCUCAGGGGACACCCAGACAGAGAAGUCUAGGAGGAGCUGGACGUGGGGGUAAAGGCACCACAGAUGGUCAGGGUCAGAGUUUGAGAGCCAGAUGAGAUGGGGCCGAGGGGCAGUGGAAGGGGCUGGAGGACAUUGAGGACAUUCACUAACUGGGGUCAUCAAGGUGGAGACUGCUGUGUUGAUUUCACAGCCUCCUGGUGCCUGACAUAGCUGGGCCCAGGGAGGCCAUUCAAUAAACGCAUACUGACUUAACCCAAAUUCACUUGUUUCUACUUUAAAUCAUGGAACAGGAUAGAAUUUGCUGGACCCAGGUUAAUUAGUAGGAAGCUGAAAGCAAGGAUUAUAAACAAAAGCAAGAUACAGACUUGAGAUAAAACUAAGAAUCCACACUAAUAACUAAGACUCUCAAACAUGCAGCCCACUGUGGCCUCAGGGCCUUUGCACUUGCUGGUCUCGCAGCCUGGAACACUCUACCCUCUGCAUUGCUUGCUCCCUAAACAUCUUUGGGAAUUUGCUCAAACGUCCUUCCUGACUUAAUUUUUCUCCAUGGUACAUAUCACCGCCUGACUUUGUGUAUAUUUUACCUAUUUUUUUCUCUGUCUCCCCCACUAGGCUGUCAGCUGUACGAGAAUGGCGACCUCUGUGUGCUUCACUCUGCUGUGCCCGGUGUCUGGAGCUGGCCCACAGGCAGUAGGGCCUCAGUGGUGUGCGCUGGGCAAGUGAACACCGCCGACCACAAGCAAGCACAUUUCUGGGAGUUCUCAGUGUUACUGGCUCACUCGCUGUUUAUGGAGCCCCGCUCUGUGCCCUGCCCCGACUUAGGCCGCAGGCACGACGUCAGUGAAGGAGACGAGAAAAUAAACUCUGCUGCCCCCAUGGAGCUGACAUCGCAGAGGGAAACAAAGAGUGAGGAGAGCACAGCAGGUAAGAAGGCAGAAGUGCCACAGAGGAGAAGCGAGGCUCAGGGGUCAGGAGGGCGCGGGUUGGGGCACAGAGGUGGGAGGAGAGGAGUGAGGAUGAGGGCCCCGGAUGGUGCAGGGCCUGGGGGCUCCUGUGAGGACUUUCCUUCUGGGUGGGCACAGUCAGGGUGGGGUGCUGAGCCAGGGGUCAGGCCCCGAAUGCUGUGAGAGGAAUGAGGCGGGUGACGGUAGGGAGACCGGGUUGGGGAGGCUGUCACUGUAGAUGGAGCAGGCAGGGAAGGCUCCUUUGAGGAGGUGACAUUUGAGCUGAGCCCUUGUCUGGACCAUGUUUCUAGCUUCUGUAAAACUGAUGCCUUAACACCUGUCCUGCGUGCGGAGGUGGGACAUGCCUUGUUCUGACUCCCUUCCACUCAGCCUCCUGCCCGCCUCGGUGCCCCCUCACCCCACCCUCAGGAAGAGCCCUCCUUUCCAAUACAAACCAACCCACUUUUCCAAUACAAACCAACCAAUCCAGUGUCCAUCCACACCCCAACCACCUCCUCUACCGGACACGCAUAUUCUGGGCCACUAUCCACUGCUCUUAUCACCCAGGGCAGGUACCAGACAACUGGGACAGCCCCUACGCCCCAGAGCCUGUGAAAUUAUUCAGGCCAGCCAGUCCUAAGCCUGCUCACCCUGCCCCACUGUUCCUUUCUGCAGAAACCACAGUAAAGUCUCCUGCCACAGGUCCCCUACUCCCUCUGCCUCCUGACCACCCUGGUGCUUCCCCGUGAGGCCCUGUGUGGCCCUGUGUGGCAUGCCCCCUCCUCUGGGAACUGUGAGUAACAGACUAUCUUGUCAAUGGCAUCAUCUCCUGAUCUGUUGGCCUUACUGAACCUCAAAUUUUUCAUUAAUACUUUCUGUCUUGGACCAGCCCUCAGGACACUUUGCACUUAGUGUAAACAAAUGAAGAAUAAAUGAAUGAUCUACCCUUUUACAACAUCUUCAACAAGUUUAAUAUUUUAAUAUACACUGAACUUCCUUUUCCCCACGAAAUUGGAGCCUCCAUAAGAGUGGAGGGCAUAUCAGAAAUUACACGGACAAGGCCAGACCCCUGGGAAGCCCUGAAUAUCUGUGUCCCCAGACGGAGGGCUCAGGCCAAGCGUGACGGAGUCCGAGUCUCCGCCCUCAUACUGUGACUGGCAUUUGGCUGGUUUUUCAAAUUCACCUUUUAAUCUUGUCAGUUUAGCAGGGAGCUCGUCACUUCCAAACUCAUCUUUCUAGCAAUAAUCAAGUUACAUCACGCGUGAGACGGCCUGUUCCCUGAGUUAUUUCAUGAGAAUCCACAGACAUUAGCAGGGAGUCAGCCCAGCCUACUUCAGAACAAGGGGCAUCUUUGGGAGCAGUGAGGGUGCACAGCGCGGGAGGACAGAACAAGAGGAUGCCCUGGGAGAUACCAGCCCCAGACUUAGGAGCAUCAACCUAGAGGCAUGAGAUUUCCAGAGAAGCGCCCAGAGAGGGGAGUGGGUUGGAGCUGAGCUUGGCUGUCACCUCAUGGAAAGGGGGGCUGAAAAUUUCAGACAGCUGUGGCCCUGGGAGCAGCCUGACCCAAGGGAACCACACAGAAAGUCCUCUCUGAGACUGUUGUCCUGGUCAGGACAAGGUUCAGCUGCUGUAACAAAGGCGCCCACAGGAGAGUGGCGCACAGAAGCUGGCAUCUCUCCUGCGCUCACUCUGGAGACAGACAGUCCAGGGCUGGUCCGGCAGGGCUGCUCUGGGAGGCUCCUCUCCCUGUUGCCGUCACCCCAGAGGAGCUGCCCUCAUCAGUGUGGAGCAGGACAGAGGGAGCAAGGACAGAGGGAGAAGCAGAAGGAAGGACAUGCUUCUCUCCUAGGAAAUAUCCUAGAAACCGCACAAAUCGCUUCCCUUCCCAUCCUGGAGGGAGAGCUUGGCUCCAUGCGCAGCCUAGCUGCAGAGGAGGCUGGGAACUCUGUAGUCAUGGGUGACCACACACCCAGUUAAAAGUCAGGUGUUUGGUUGCUCUGAGAAGUGGACGAUGCCAUUGGAAGCCACCUGGACCUCUCUGCCACACCCCUUUUAAUGUUUCCUCCCACCACCCCACCACUCCCUACUCUGAGUUCGCAUUUUAUGAAAAAUUGUCCAUCAGACAAAUUGCAUUAAGUCACUCAUAAUUCAGGAACCAGCUGAAAAUCAUGGGCCGGUGGGUGCUUUUCAUUAGAUUUGCUGGCAAAUCGCUGCUGGGGCUCCAUUACCAACUCUGAGGUUCUCUCCUACAGAGCCCACGGUGCAUGAGCAGCCAGCAGUGUCUUCUCCAACGGAAGCCCAUCACGUCGCUCCCUGCGCCUGGACCCCCUGCUCCUUGGAACAAAACCCAAAGCCCUUGCUGUGGAACUGAACUUGGACUAAUGAGGGAGCUCGGAGGCAGCCGCGGCCCCAGCCAGCCAGGGCCCAGGCUCACAGAAGAGGAGGAGAAAGCCUCGUCAGCAGAGCCUUCUGUUAUCAGAGCUGACUGCUCUUCCAGGCCGUGAGCUGGGGGAUAUUUAAGCUUGGAGACCCAGCGAGAAAUGCACCAGUGGGGAGUGGUCCCAGAAACAAGGGGUGCUGGCCCAACGCCCCACUCCCCAGCCUCACACCCCACCUCUGUCUUGUAUGCUCCUGACACUCUAGCUCCUGUCUGGAAGGCCUCUGCUCCAUUUCCUGUGGUCAGAGCUGUGUCUCGGGACCCUGCUAGACACCACUUCCCUAAGAUGCUGUCCUGACACGGCCAGCAGCAGCGAGCGUGUGCUGUGCUGGGCAUGUCCUUCCUUUGUACCUGUGAACAGGUGACUGUACGAUGGGGAAGUCCCCAUCUUGUCUUCCCAGCUGGACCGUGCUCUUUGGGCAGGAUCCGUGUCUGAUUCACCUCGGGGAGCCCGACAGGGUUUGGUCAAGUGCCCAGCAUGUGGGCUUCACAGAGAGUGAACCUCGUGGGCAAGAGUGUCUGUGGGAAACUGAACAAUUCAGUGUGAGUAAAGUGCAAGGAGGGGGUGGUGGCGAAAAGGUCUGCAGGGGGACAGGUCACAGAGGGUCCCGAAAGCCCACUCAGGCACUGGGACUUGCCCUGAAGGGAAUGAGAGCCCUGGGCGGAUUUCAAGCAGAGCAACACUGGUGGAUCACACAUUGGGCUGUUUGGCGUAAAGGAAACCAAAACGGGGGACAUGCAGGGGGAGCGACAAGACCCCCAGCCCAUCCCCAGCCCUCUUCUUACUUCCCCUGGCCCUGCUCUCUAUGGACGAAGGAAAAUCUUCUCUGCCCGCUCAGAUGCUGGGACCGUGCUGGGGCCGUCUCGUGAGAAUGUGGAAAGACUCUGCACACAGUGCCACCCGCCUUGCAAGCAGCAGCCAGCGGCCUCCUGGACAUCCUCAGCGUCUUAGGAGGCCAGGCAGAAGCUCUCUGACAGAUGAAUCCUCCUCUGGACCCCCCAGGAUGUCUGGCUUCCCGUGAGCUCCUCUGGAACCUUGAGCAGGCUGAACAGCCCGCACCUCGGUCACGACUCUCAGCGGGACUGCUCUGUGCCACUGUCAUAAAAAGGAGAAAUCAUCCCAGGGGACAGGCCCAACUCAUGCAUAAUAGUCAGAAAACUCAGCUGUACCUGGAAGUGACCUGAGGCUGCUUUUUGGGCCCACACCCGUGCCACUUCUCUGGCUCCCCACACAGGCUGGCUCACGGGGCUUGGUUCCCCUAUCAUGGACCUCUUGGUUGUAGAUAAUAAAGGCCACAGGAUCGGAAGUUUCCCUCGGUCCUUCUGGAAAUGUUAGGUAACGUUAGUACACAGUUUCUCCCUUUCUGCCCUGCACCAUGGCUCCCAGCCUUUUCCCUUCAGAACCACAUUCAUUGCUGCUGAGAGUUACCAUAAUAAUUCUAAGUCAUUUUUCCACUUUGUCGUUCUGAUUAACUCCAAGUACUACAUCACUACACACUUCUCAAACUGGAGCAUGCACGGCCCCAUUUCUGUGUAGGGAGAAUGCAAAAGUAACUGUGACACACCUUUCUGGAGCAUCCAGUUGAUUACAAGACUUGGAAGACCAAGGACUUUACCAGAACUGUCCCUCUACCCUACAAACAUGGAAGAAGAGAUGGAGGGGACAGGAGAGGGAAGAAGUGCCCGAGGAAAAGCAGCCCAGCCUCUGAAGUUUCACCCAGGUUGGGGCCAAGGGGCACACCUGCAGCGAGGUGGCCUCUCCUCGUGUCCCCAGGCACCUCCAGGCCGUCCUCGAAGUUCACCAAGUAUCUUGGAUAUAUGCUUCUGAAGGCCAUGGAGAUGCCAGAUGCCAUUCUGAUGUGAAUCCCGUGUGGAGGAGGCUGCAGCAGCUUGCACACCUCCAUCGUCUGCUGGACCAAAUCCUCUCACCUGGAUGUCCGCGCACAUAUGGCGUGUGCUUCUCGCACUGCUCCCGCUCACAGCUGAAUGCAUCUCACCUCUGGCCAAACUCCCUCGCCACUGUGCCAGCCUGUGGAGCUCGGCAUCUUGCUCUCCAUUUAAAACGCAGGGGUUUGGCUUGACCUCCCCACCAUCUUUGAUUUGGACCCUGCCAUGAGAUCAAAUUGGCUUCACUCUAUUGUGUUUGCCAUGCCGGUUCUUGCUGGGCACACAGAAACAGAAGCGUCUUAUAAAGUUUAAGAAUCUACCAGCGGACCUCCUUGGGCCCUGGCUGGGGCCAGAGGGAGAGGCUGGGGUCGCCCCAGCACGCUGCCCAGCGUGCAGGAAGGUUCCACUGCAGGACACACCCUGGGGGCAGUUGCUUUCCGCUGGGCCGCCACUACUGUUGCUGGUGCUGUGGGUGGAGGGGAAGGCCCCAGGGCCGUUCUGGAGGGUUGGGCUGGGGGUGGCAGUUCUCGACUCCAGGCUGGCCGGGGUACUGGCAGGCUCUUUGGCCUUUGGCCCUGACCCCUGUUUCUCCCCAGGCUGCUGAUUUUCUGCCUUGCAGAGCCAGAUGCGAAAACCAUGUUCGCUGUGAUCACGUCUUCCUGGGAGUGCAAAGGCCUUCAGAUGCACCGUGCAGGUCUGGGAAGAGCUGCAGCUGUUGGGGUCAAUGACCUUACAGUGACGGUGUGACCCUCCACCCGGGGUUUCUUGGAACUAAGCAUCAGGCACGUGGACGUAACAUCGUCAUACCUCCUUCUUGUUAAGGAAUCCUGGAUCUUGUCCCACUCAAAGCCCAUGUUCAUCAUUACCUGUGUCACCCAGGAGUCCCUGUUGUCACAGGGCAGCUCCUGGUAAGGCCUGAGUCUCUCCUGGCCCAUAUUGACCCACAGGUCCUCCAGGACAUCUUUUAAACUCCUUUUCUUGCUGGGGUCAAGGGUCAUCAGUUCUUUCAAGAGCCUUCUGCAUUCCAGUGAAAGGAACAUGGGAAGCGGGUAUCGCUGGCUCAGCACCAGCUGCUGCACUGUGCAGAUGUCCUCUCCCAGGAUAGGUGGGACCCAGUGACUAUAACGUAAAGAAUAACGCCAAGGUUCCAGAUAUCAGCCGGGGGACUGUAUAGCCUGGGCCCUGGAAGGUCUCCAGGCAGUAUAACCAGGCCACUGCAGUACGCGCUCAGCUUGCACCCGACGAACACGUUGCUGAGGCUGAAGUCCGCCAGCUUCACAUUCAGUUCAGCAUCCAGAGGCAGGUUCUCCAGGCUCAGGCCCCUGUGGACAAUGCCUCUGUGGUGGCAGUAUCGGAGAGCCGAGCCGAGCUGCCGGAAUUUUCCUUGGGCCUCUUCCUCCAGCACGCCGCCGUGGUUUCAUAAGUAAUUGAGUGUGUCUCCUCCACUAACGUCCUCCAGGACGAAGAACAAUGUUUCCUCCGUGUCAAUCACCUCAAACAACCUUACAAUAUGGGGGUGACUCAAGGCCUUCAGGCUGUGGACUUCACGGAAAAGUUCCCUGAUUCUGGUGAGGCUGUGUCAAGUCUUGCGAAUGACUUUAACAGCCACCUCUGUCACGGUUGGGAUGUGCCAGGCCAACUUCGCGCUGGAGAAGAUACCCUUUCCAAUGGUCUUGAGGAGCUCAUAAUUGUUAACACAGGUCUUCUUGUUGGCAGAGGUGGCUGCAAGGCCCAGAAGCAUGGUGACCUGCUAACUACAUUAACUGACAAUACUAACAAUGCUAACUAUGCUUACUAACUACGCUAACAAACAAAACUAUAGUAUGCUAACUACUAGUAACUAAUGAUACUAACAAUGCCACCUAUGCUUACUAACUAUGCAAAUAAAUAAUACUGACUAAACAUGCUAACUACUAACUAUACCAACAAUACUAACUGUCCUAACAAUACUAAAUUUAAAAAUUAAAGAAAAUGAGAAAGAGAACAAAGAAAAAAUGAGAAAAGUACAAAGGGAAAUUGAGAAAAAGAAAAAAUAAAAAAGUGAGAAAAAGAAAGGAAAAAUGAGAAAAAGACAAAAAGAAUUUUAAAAAUGAGAAAGGAGAACAAAGAAAAAUAAAAAAUAAUAAGAAAAAAUAGGAAAUAAAAAUAAUAACAAAAAAAAGAGUAGAUAAAAAAGAAAAAAUAAACAAAAUGGGGGGUGGUGAGCAAACAAGCUGGCUGUGGUCCAGCUACAGGUCACCAAAAGUUAGCUUCCUGGGUUAUAAGAACCAAAAACCUAGGCCUGGCCAGAGACUUUAUAGGUAUUUUGCAAUUUCAUUACAGUGGCUCACUAGGAGGGCAAAGCAAGAAAUGUGCCAACCAUGACUGAGGAGAAACCACAGUGAUUUUCUCACUUUUUGGUCUCAAUACCCCUUUAGUCUUAAAAAAAGGACCCCAGACAAAGGGUUAAUCUCCAUACUAUAUAAAGAGCUCACACAACUCGACAACAACAAAUCAAACAACCUGAUCAAAAAAUGGGCAGAGGAUAUAAACAGACAUUUCUCCAAAGAAGAUAUACAGAUGGCCGAUAGGCACAUGAAAAGAUGCUCAUCAUCUCUGAUCAUCAGGGAAAUGCAAAUCAAAACUACAUUAAGAUAUCACGUUACACUCGUUAGAAUGGCAAAAAUAACCAAAACAAAAAAGAACAAAUGUUGGAGAGGAUGUGGAGAAAAGGAAACCCUCAUACACUACUGGUGGGAAUGCAAACUGGUGCAGCCACUAUGGAAAACAGUAUGGAAAUUUCUCAAAAAAUUAAAACUAGAAAUACCAUAUGACCCAGCCAUCCCACUACUGGGUAUCUAUCCAAAGAACUUGAAAUCAGCAGUUCAGAGAGACCCAGGCACCCCUAUGUUCAUUGCAGCAUUAUUCACAAUAGCCUAGACGUGGAAGCAACCCAAGCGCCCAUCAACUGAUGAGUGGAUAAAGAAGAUGUGGUAUAUAUACACAAUGGAAUACUACUCAGCCAUAAAAAAGAAUAAAAUCAUCCCAUUACAAGAACACAGAUGGACCUUGACGGUAUUAGGUUAAGUGAAAUAAGCCAGACAGACAAUCUCUGUAUGACUCCACUCAUGUGGAAGAUAAACAAACACAUGGACAAGGAGAACAGAUCAGUGGUUAUCAGGAGGAAGGGGAGUGGGGGGUAGGCACAAAGGGUGAAGAGGUGCACCUAUAAGAUGACUGACAAAUAGUAAUGUACAACUGAAAUUUCACAAGUUUGUAAACUAUUAUAACCUCAAUAAUAAUAAAAAAGGACUCCAAAGGGCUUUUCACUUAUGUGGGAUAUUAGAGAGUGAUAUUUAUUAGAAAUUAAAAUCUGUAGGAUGCUUCAGUGGCCUUUUCAUUUCUAAUUUAAAAAUCUGUAAUAAUUUCUGGCUUUUAAAGACCUCAUAAUGUCUACACUUAAAAUCUUCAAUUCCUUUUCCUUAAACUCUGAUUAGUCUCAAAAUGAUCCUAUAACUUAACUCAUGUUAUAAUACUAUAGGAUGCUGGUGUCGCCUAUAAUACUAUAGGAAAACGUUCUGUUGUAUAAGACAUGAGAACCAGGAACUUGCAAGAAAACACUGGAUGGGGUGUCUGUGACAAGUUCCUCUUUAUCAGUUCAGGUGCUAGCAGGAAAUACACAGCACGCUCAAAUUUGGUAAUUUGAGGUGAGUCUAAUAAAAGGACCAUUUGUAGAGAUGUGGGCUGGGUGUGAGGCAACAUAAGAGGGUGCAGUAUGCUGGGGCUAGAAACCAUGGGGAGCCAUUACCCACCGCCCUCUGCCCCCGGGGCUGCCAGGGAGCAGUUAGCAGGAACCCAAAGAGAACAGCCUGUGGGUAGAGAGCUGCUUGACUAAAAGCGUGGCCUUUGGAGAUCAGCCAGGCGGCAGUGAAGCUGCAGGAAGGGGGCCAGGGAAAUAAAUACCCCUCCCUACUUUCUUGCCUUCCUCGCCAGCCAAGCUCCAAAAUGGCCAAACUCAUAGAUAUGGUCCACGUGAUCCAGCCUUCUGGGGCAGAGAGCAGGAUGGAAAGUGGGUUUGCAGAGCUAAAUGGAAGCUUCCAGCACAACACGCUCUUUCCGCUAUUGUUGUCGAAGCAUUUCUCUUCUAUUUGCUAACUCCUAGGGUGGGGACAAGGCCUCCUGGGAACGGAGGCUGGACGCAGGGCAGCAGCAAGAAUACGAUGCAGUAAGGAUGGCCGUUACGGUCCCCUUCCAGACAGUGGGAAGUAGGUCUGCAGCUCAGGGCUCAGGCGCUGGGCAGGACCGUGACCCUCAGGAAAGAAGAGAGACUACCCACCCUGAGGGUUCCAGGGUGGCACUGGACAGAGGAAAAGUCAGGCAGGCCUGCCGCCCCCGAGGAAGAGAGCGACGUCGGCCACCCUUGACGAUAGUUUCCAGUUACUGGAGUUUCUGUUGCCUGAAUUCUGACUGCCCCGCAACCAAGUUCAGCCUGGAUCUCUCUUGUCUGAACCACUGCCAGGCAGUGCAGAACACAGACGGGCCACCUCUGUGUACAGAGGUGACUGGGCAGUCCCACCAAACCAAUCACAGUUUCUGCCAUGGUCUGCUACACGGCAUGGAGGAUUACUGUGCUGGAGACAGGCUCAUAUUAAAAUAUUAACCUACAUUUAAAAUGUUUCCAUCGUGUCCACGGGGAUCUCCAUUCCAUAUGUUUGCAGGGGCUCUGGGGCCAGCAGUGUGUCUGACUUUGAGUGUUUUAAAAUGAAGGCUAAAGGUGACUUGCAAUAAACCAGCACAAGUAAUAACACAGAGGCCAAGACACCCCCCUUAGUUAAUAUUGACUUUGAAGGCUUUCCUUCCGUGAACAGCAUCAGAGGCUGAUAGACCCUAGAGGCCACCUCCUUUAACUGGUUCAACCUCCCUUGGUUUAAAUUCUUCUCUUCGCCCCUCCCUUCCUCUCUCCUUUCUUCCCAAAAUGUGUUCAGCUGACCACCUGUAUUAGUUUCCUGUGGCUGCUGUAACAAAUGACCACAAACUCGGCAGCUUAAAACAACACAAACUUACUAUCUUACAGUUUGGAGGUCAGAAGUCUGAAAUGGGUCUUACCAGGCUAAAAUCAAGGUGUCAGCACGGCUGUGUUCCCUCUGGAGAAUCCACUUCUCGGCCAUUUCCAGCUUCUAGAGGCCAGCAUUCCUCCACUCAUGGCCCCUCCCUCCAUCUUCAAAGCUAGCAAUGGACAGUCAAGUGUUUCCCACGAUGCAUCACUCUGACUCUGAUUCUCCUGCCUCCCUCCUUCACUUAGAAGGACUCUUCUGAUUCCAUUGGGCCCAGCUGGAGAAUCCAGAAUAAUCUCCCCAUCUCAAGACCCUUAAUUUAAUCACAUCUACAAAAUCCCUUUCGCCACAUCAAGUAACACAUUCACAGGUUCUGGGAAUCAGGAUGUGGACAUCUUUGGGAGCCCAUUAUUCUGCCUACCCCUCAUGCAGGUUAACUUCAAGUUAUGUGCUUUCCUAGUACAUACCCUCCUUAUUCACGGUGCCCAUCAACACGGAAGUUCACUGCAACUGUAGUGGUGAAAUUAGUGAUUUAAUGUCUAUCCCCCUAACUGGAUAAAAAACUCUCCAAAGGAGGAGAUUAUAGAUGUUUUGACAACCACUAGCGUAUUCUCAGAGCUUCCUAGCAGCAAAGGCAAGUAAGGAAGCAUGUUGAGAAGGGAGGAAGAAGAGAAAAGAAAACAAUAGCUAACUUUUAAUGAUCACUCACCUGUGUGCCAGCAAUGUUCCAGGUGUUUUUAGCCUAUUUAGUUCACACGUUGUGAAGGAGGGGCUGUCAGCUACAGAAAGCAGUAGCACAGCUGGGAUUCAGAAUCCCUGAUCUGAACCACUGUGUCACAUAAACAAAUACUCUCAAACAGUAUUUCAUGUGCCAUAAUAGAAGUCUGAGAGGCAGAAAUGAAGGAGGGAGGGACCAGGUCUACAGAUGUGUCAGGCAAGAUUUUCCAGAAGAUGUAAUACAUGGAAGGCAGAGGGGGGUGUGCCGAGUUGGGGGUGGGGCGGGGGAAGGAGGGCUGUGAUGGGGAGUGGAGCAAGGUGUUCAAGGCAGAGGAGGCUAUAUGAACAAAGUCCCAGGCAGGAAAUUGCUUGGUGUUUUCUAGAAAUUGAAGAUGAUGCAGUACCGCUGGAGCUUAGGCGGUGAAAGGCAGGGCACAGAGCAGGAGAUGGGGCUGAAGUGGGAGGCAGAGGCUCCAUUCCGAGAACGCUGUCAGCCAUGUCUAGGCUUUAGACACUGUCCUAAAGAAAAUGGGAAGCCAUUGGAAGACUUUCGAUGCUGAGGUUUUAACAAAAUCAGCUUACUCACCACGUGGAAGAAGGAUUGCAGGGUUGGGAUGCUGAAGGCAACGAGGCAAGUGGAGCGCGUGUGAAUGGGAAGCCUAGUGCUGGAACCCAGAGGUUUCAUGGCUCCAGCCCAGGGCAUUGCCAGCUGUGCAUCUGGACCCUCCCCACGGCCUCACCACCACCAAGAGAGGGAGUGCGGUGGGGAAGCAGAGAGCCCUCUGCUCUCGGAAUGAAGAAAUCGAAAGUCCAAUCUCUGCUUCAAAACCAGGCAAAGGGAGGAGAAGCGAGCCAGAGAGAAACGCAUUUAAUUCUUUUUUCUUUUUUUUUAAAAUGUAUUUUUGCAUCUAACAUGAUUUCUAAUUUUUGUUUUUUUAAGAUUUUUUUUCCCUUUUUCUCCCCAAAUCCCCCCGGUACAUAGUUGUGUAUUUUUAGUUGUGGGUCCUUCUGGUUGUGGCAUGUGGAUGCCACCUCAGCAUGGCUUGAUGAGUGGUGCCAUGUCUGCACCCAGGCUCCGAACCGGUGAAACCCUGGGCCGGCGAAGUGGAGCGCGAGAACUUAAGCACUCAGCCACGGGGCCGGCCCCUGCAUUUAAUUCUUAACUCACAGUGAAGACUUCCUCCAAGAAGAUUCAUUCAGAAAUUACUUCUCCUCCCUGUGAACACCUCCCACUGAUGUUCCUGCCACGCCUUCAUUCAAUCAACAAAUAUUGAGCACCUACUGUAUGCCCAGCACUGUGUUAGGCACCAUGUUAGAUGCAGAAAUGAAUGACUCUGACUUGUUCUUUGCCCUUGUGGAGUUUACUGUCUAGUAGGAGAAUAAAACAUCGAUCAAAUUAAUGCAUAUAUUGUAACAUGAUUUUAAGCGUGGCAAGCCCCAUGAAGAAGCUGAUGGGGAGCGUGAUGACGGCAGAUUGCAUCACUGGUUCCAGUUCUUUACCUCUCCUUGUAGUUUCAACUGUGUCAUGUGACUUUGAAGUUUCUUCCAUAACAGCACAGUAUAUUUCCACACUCCAUUGACUUUUAGCUUAGCCAUGUGACUUACUUUGUCCAGUAAGAUGAAGUGGAGGUGACAGUGAGCCAAUUCCAAGGGUAGGUCUUGGCAGGUCUUGGUGUGCUCCCUUUUGCCCUCCUGUGUCUCUGCCAUCACCUUGAGAAUACGCCUUGGCUAGCCUGCUGGCCCCACGAGGAGGCUGAGAGACACAUGGAGCACGGCUGCCCCAGCUGAGCCACUCUAGCUAAGAGGAGGCUAGAUGAACUGACCUGACCCCACAGCUCUAAAGAUGAAUGAGAGGGCCCAGCUGAGAUCAGCAGAGCUACCCAGCCAAUCCCAGCCAGGGUCAGCUAACCCAGCUCACCUGCACACUUGUGAGUUCAAGAAAUGCUUAUUGAUGUAAGCCGCUGAGAGUGGCUAUUUGUUAUGCAGCAUUAUUGUUUAUAGUUAGGUGACACACUGACUUAUUCUAAGCAGGCUAUGGCGGGACUCCCUGAAGAAAUGGCAUCUCAGCAACAGCCAAGUUCAGUGGGUGAAGGAGGAGAAGAGGAGCAUUCCAGGCUGAGGGAUGAGCAAAGGCCCUGAGGCAAGAAGGACAUGACCAUUCGAGAAACUGAAAGAAAGCAGGAUUUUCUGGGGGUGCAAAGGUGCGGUGG